UACGAGGGGUGCAAGCGUUGCUCGGAAUUAUUGGGCGUAAAGGGUAGGUAGGUGGUCUCAUUUGUCUGGGGUGAAAUCCUUGAGCUUAACUCAAGAAGUGCCCCAGAAACGGUGAGACUCGAGUACUGGAGAGGAGACUGGAAUUUACGGUGUAGCAGUGAAAUGCGUAGAUAUCGUAAGGAAGACCAGUGGCGAAGGCGAGUCUCUGGACAGUUACUGACGCUGAGGCACGAAGGCCAGGGGAGCAAACGGG
RNAcentral lists this ribosomal RNA (253 nucleotides) under uncultured bacterium. Its description in RNAcentral is "partial 16S ribosomal RNA". It matches the Rfam family "Bacterial small subunit ribosomal RNA", at positions 524 to 776 of the family's 1533-position model. The record is from RNAcentral.